UCCAGUUACACCUUCUCCAGUGCUUGACGUGCCUGGUCAAUUACACCUGCCCAGCUUCUGUAAGAGCUUGUCUUUGACAGGAGCCCAGAUAUGUGGGUGGGACGAAGAGGACCCUGGCAAUCCUCAAGGAAGGUGGCGGGUGCCACUCCAUCUGUGUGAAAGCAUUCCACCGUCCAGGUGCAGAUAAACAUGUUUGAGCUUCAGCAACACCCACAUGAGUAUCUGUUCUCCCACCUUACACAAUAGCACCUUACAGAAAAGGGAACAGGACUUUGAGUGUCAUCAACUGGGCCCUGCAGGGAGGAAAAGGCCAGCUGAUAAUGGAAGCCACCCCAGAUUAGUGCGAGGGGGACUGGCUUCUUAUUCAAGCAACCCCGGUGAAUUUCCAGUCCCAGCGAGUGAUGCUGGAAGGCAUCGAAGCCUUCAGGGCUGGCCUAAUGACAAAAGCACGUCACCUACAGAUGUUCCUGAAUGGCACUGGGGCCCUUGGGCUUAGGAGAUGUCUGUCCUUGGCGUUUGUCCUAGCAGACUCCAGCCUGAUUUGCUACAAGGCCUUGAGAUGUUAUUUCUGCAGGGUUGCUUGUGUUUUAAGAAGAAUUUGUUGGAAGACAUGACAUUUUAAAGUCAUAAUGGUAAGCAGAAGCAGAAAAAAAGACCUAGGGUACAGAAUUUGGGGACACCCCCCUUUCUGAGAACUCCUUUAUUUUCCAAAUUAGAAACAUUAAAAUGUUUUCUGUAAUUUCUCUAUUGCAAAGUGAGGCCAGAAGCACAUGACAAUAAAAAUAGGAGAAGAAAAUUUAGGAAGACA
Molecule: long non-coding RNA, 808 nt
Filed under: Felis catus (domestic cat)
Lineage: Eukaryota; Metazoa; Chordata; Mammalia; Carnivora; Felidae
Description: lncRNA (ENSFCAG00000051261.1)
Source: RNAcentral